AGUGAACGCUGGCGGUAGGCCUAACACAUGCAAGUCGAACGGCAGCACAGUAAGAGCUUGCUCUUACGGGUGGCGAGUGGCGGACGGGUGAGGAAUACAUCGGAAUCUACUUUUUCGUGGGGGAUAACGUAGGGAAACUUACGCUAAUACCGCAUACGACCUACGGGUGAAAGCAGGGGAUCUUCGGACCUUGCGCGAUUGAAUGAGCCGAUGUCGGAUUAGCUAGUUGGCGGGGUAAAGGCCCACCAAGGCGACGAUCCGUAGCUGGUCUGAGAGGAUGGUCAGCCACAUUGGAGCUGAGACACGGUCCAGACUCCUACGGGAGGCAGCAGUGUGGAAUAGUGGACAAUGGGCGCAAGCCUGAUCCAGCCAUACCGCGUGGGUGAAGAAGGCCUUCGGGUUGUAAAGCCCUUUUGUUGGGAAAGAAAAGCAGCAGGUUAAUACCCCGCUGUUCUGACGGUACCCAAAGAAUAAGCACCGGCUAACUUCGUG
RNAcentral lists this ribosomal RNA (492 nucleotides) under uncultured bacterium. RNAcentral describes it as "partial 16S ribosomal RNA". It matches the Rfam family "Bacterial small subunit ribosomal RNA", at positions 29 to 507 of the family's 1533-position model. The record is from RNAcentral.